UUAAACCUCAUCGAAGAAGAAGCUAAAAUUGUCCCAGGUGAUGCAUGCCCAGAUGCUCCUCCCCUCCCCUCUCCUCCUGCCUGUCUUCCUCACCUCACCUCAGUAACGUCACCUUAGGCUUCCACCUUUUUAUUAUGACCGUGUCAGUACAUGCUCCAGGCUAGGCUACUCUGAAUGCAGCUGGAAAAUGGGGCAGUCCAGAGAGAGCAGAGUCUAUUUCCUCUGGUGUUCUAUCAAUGAAGAGUGACCAAUCCAUGAUAUACCCUAUACAUUUCAAAGGAGGGGUCUCUCUACGAAACAAAGGGCCAGGAGAGGUACCCUGUGAUAUCUGUUCUGAGGUCCAAG
Coregonus clupeaformis (lake whitefish) is the source of this 345-nucleotide long non-coding RNA. RefSeq lists it as uncharacterized. The record is from RefSeq and is a predicted model, not a curated record. The transcript is spliced from 3 exons. NCBI's taxonomy places the organism in Eukaryota, Metazoa, Chordata, Actinopteri, Salmoniformes, Salmonidae.